Lupinus angustifolius (narrow-leaved blue lupine) is the source of this 140-nucleotide small nucleolar RNA. It matches the Rfam family "small nucleolar RNA snoR134". The record is from Rfam. Lineage: Eukaryota; Viridiplantae; Streptophyta; Magnoliopsida; Fabales; Fabaceae.
AUGCACGAAGCAACCCCGGGCUUCUCUGAAAUCCCAAUGACGAGAAAAGCCCCAAUGCACGUGCCAAAUCAGCGACGUUCGUGUUGCAGUUUAGUCCUAAAUUCCAUGUCUAGAUCUGUGUCAAAGCAACGGCAAAAUGC